UAGGGAAUCUUCGGCAAUGGGGGCAACCCUGACCGAGCAACGCCGCGUGAGUGAAGAAGGUUUUCGGAUCGUAAAGCCCUGUUGUAAGUCAAGAACGGGUGUGAGAGUGGAAAGUUCACACUGUGACGGUAGCUUACCAGAAAGGGACGGCUAACUACGUGCCAGCAGCCGCGGUAAUACGUAGGUCCCGAGCGUUGUCCGGAUUUAUUGGGCGUAAAGCGAGCGCAGGCGGUUUGAUAAGUCUGAAGUUAAAGGCUGUGGCUCAACCAUAGUUCGCUUUGGAAACUGUCAAACUUGAGUGCAGAAGGGGAGAGUGGAAUUCCAUGUGUAGCGGUGAAAUGCGUAGAUAUAUGGAGGAACACCGGUGGCGAAAGCGGCUCUCUGGUCUGUAACUGACGCUGAGGCUCGAAAGCGUGGGGAGCGAACAGGAUUAGAUACCCUGGUGAGUCCACGCCGUAAACGAUGAGUGCUAGGUGUUGGAUCCUUUCCGGGAUUCAGUGCCGAAGCUAACGCAUUAAGCACUCCGCCUGGGGAGUACGACCGCAAGAUUGAA
Molecule: ribosomal RNA, 553 nt
Filed under: uncultured bacterium
Lineage: Bacteria
Description: partial 16S ribosomal RNA
Rfam family: Bacterial small subunit ribosomal RNA
Source: RNAcentral